Molecule: ribosomal RNA, 331 nt
Filed under: uncultured eukaryote
Lineage: Eukaryota
Description: partial 18S ribosomal RNA
Rfam family: Eukaryotic small subunit ribosomal RNA
Source: RNAcentral
CCCUUGGAUGUUCUGGGCCGCACGCGCGCUACACUGUUCGACGCAGCGAGUCUUAACCUUGACCGAAAGGUUUGGGUAAUCUUCAGCAAAGUCGAACGUGAUGGGGAUCGAUCAUUGCAAUUAUUGAUCGUGAACGAGGAAUUCCUAGUAAGUGCAAGUCAUCAGCUUGCGCUGAUUACGUCCCUGCCCUUUGUACACACCGCCCGUCGCUACUACCGAUUGAAUGGUUUAGUGAGAUCUCUGGAUUGACGCUGGCUAGGGGGCGACCCUUGGCCAGGCUGUCGAGAAACUGCUCAAACUUGAUCAUUUAGAGGAAGUAAAAGUCGUAACA